CAAAGUCUACAUUAAUUGUGUGAAUGCUGAUUCAGCAACUUUCUUUGGUCGCCUCUAACUUCUGCACACGUUCAGCUACAAAAACCAUUCAAAUAUCAAAAUGUUCAGCGCUUUAAGCACAUGA
Molecule: long non-coding RNA, 124 nt
Organism: Sander lucioperca (pikeperch)
Lineage: Eukaryota; Metazoa; Chordata; Actinopteri; Perciformes; Percidae
Exons: 3
Source: RefSeq, a predicted model, not a curated record